CGGUAACGCGGGGACAACCUGGYGRCGAGUGGCGAACGGGUGAGUAAYRCAUCGGAACGUGCCCAGUAGUGGGGGAUARCCCGGCGAAAGCCGGAYUAAUACCGCAUACGACCUACGGGUGAAAGSRGGGGAUCGCAAGACCUYKCGCUAUYGGAGCGGCCGAUGUCAGAUUAGSUWGUUGGYGGGGUAAARGCCYACCAAGSCGACGAUCUGUAGCUGGUCUGAGAGGACGACCAGCCACACUGGGACUGAGACACGGCCCAGACUCCUACGGGAGGCAGCAGUGGGGAAUUUUGGACAAUGGGCGCAAGCCUGAUCCAGCCAUGCCGCGUGCGGGAAGAAGGCCUUCGGGUUGUAAACCGCUUUUGUCAGGGAAGAAACGCUYCGGGYUAAUACCYCGRRGUAAUGACGGUACCUGAAGAAUAAGCACCGGCUAACUACGUGCCAGCAGCCGCGGUAAUACGUAGGGUGCAAGCGUUAAUCGGAAUUACUGGGCGUAAAGCGUGCGCAGGCGGYYUUGCAAGACAGAUGUGAAAUCCCCGGGCUYAACCUGGGAACUGCAUUUGUGACUGCAWGGCUGGAGUGCGGCAGAGGGGGAUGGAAUUCCGCGUGUAGCAGUGAAAUGCGUAGAUAUGCGGAGGAACA
RNAcentral lists this ribosomal RNA (645 nucleotides) under uncultured bacterium. RNAcentral's name for it is "partial 16S ribosomal RNA". It matches the Rfam family "Bacterial small subunit ribosomal RNA", at positions 67 to 708 of the family's 1533-position model. The record is from RNAcentral.